ACAACAAUCUUUACUUGUCCUUACCACCAAGGCAUCUCGCAUUCCUACGCUUUACUGUCUCUCCCGCCUCUCUUUCGUCACCUUUUCUCUCUCUAUUCAAACUUAAAACCUACAUAUAUUUACCCACAAAUUUAUCAUCACCGAUCCACCAACACCUAAAGAGCAAUUAUUUCUUCUCAGGCUGCAAUGGCUGUGUAUGUGUCGAUGCCUUUUCUAGUUGCUGCCGCAACCGGGAUAUAUUUCCUCGACAAAAACCAUUACCAACCAAAGGAACUCGGAGCUGGGAUUCGAGCAACCAUCCAAGAUGUUGUAGCAAAAGCGAAGGCCAAGGCGAACACUACUCAGAUGCCAAAGUUGGCACCCCAAUUUGACGGAUUAGACUCGUUUGAAACCUUGGUCGAUCGUUAGCACCCCUAAACCCUGUGCGAAAGCAUGUAUCUGCUCGUUCAGGCCCUUAAUUUACGUAACGAAUCGUAGCGACACAUGACUGAAUCUUUCCGCUCUUGUUAUAUCUUCCCUCUGUACAUACUUCAUCCAAUAUAAAAUAUGAUCGAUCUA
Molecule: long non-coding RNA, 558 nt
Organism: Malus domestica (apple)
Lineage: Eukaryota; Viridiplantae; Streptophyta; Magnoliopsida; Rosales; Rosaceae
Source: RefSeq, a predicted model, not a curated record